UGACCCAUGGUGUAAUAGGCAACACGCCAGAUUUUGGUUCUGGAAUUCAAGGUUCAAGUCCUUGUGGGUCAG
Molecule: transfer RNA, 72 nt
Filed under: Bacteroidota bacterium
Lineage: Bacteria; Pseudomonadati; Bacteroidota
Description: Bacteroidetes bacterium (marine metagenome) tRNA-Gln
Rfam family: tRNA
About the family: Transfer RNA (tRNA) molecules are approximately 80 nucleotides in length. Their secondary structure includes four short double-helical elements and three loops (D, anti-codon, and T loops). Further hydrogen bonds mediate the characteristic L-shaped molecular structure. tRNAs have two regions of fundamental functional importance: the anti-codon, which is responsible for specific mRNA codon recognition, and the 3' end, to which the tRNAs corresponding amino acid is attached (by aminoacyl-tRNA synthetases). tRNAs cope with the degeneracy of the genetic code in two manners: having more than one tRNA (with a specific anti-codon) for a particular amino acid; and 'wobble' base-pairing, i.e. permitting non-standard base-pairing at the 3rd anti-codon position.
Source: RNAcentral